UCCAGAAUGAGUUGAGAUCUCCGUCAAGCACCGUUUCUGUAAACCACGCAACCCAUAUGGAUCCAGCUUCAAAGAAGAGCAGCCAGAUCAGCUUUAGUAUGCACGCCUUGUUCCAAAGGAACACACCGCAGAGCGAGUUAAUCCGUUUGAUGCAAGCUUUUGGUAAUACGAAAGAUGAACACCAGAAGUUGGUUAUUCCAGCAAUGACCGUCUUAAUGAGCUGCAGGCGUCCAGCAAAAUAUAAGGCUCUUACACUCCAAGAGUUGAAUUUUCCUUUCACUUGCUGGAUUAAAACUUCACAGUUCAGUGAUGUAAGCUUUUUCGUGCAGAGAGGAACGCCCAGGUACCGAACCGGUAGUGAACCUUGCGGCAUUCCAGUAGUGAAUUGGAUAAGGUCGCGUUCUGCAUCAGUCAGGCCCGAAGAGAAGAACGAAGACUUCUGGACACUCACAGCGAGACCCGAGCGAAGCUCAAAUUCCUUGAGUACCUGAAGUACAGCUUGGAGAGACUGGAGGGAGCCGUCCAAGAAGAUCAGAAGAUCAUCGGCGAAGCAAAGAUGAGUCAUCUUGGCAGAGUCACAGCGCAUAUGAUAUUUGAACUUCAGUUCUCUUGCAGCCUGGUUAAGCAUGAGUGAUAGGUUGUUGAGAGCAAUAACAAACAAAUAGGGGGAUAAGGGAUCCCCUUGGCGCAGUCCCCUUCUACCCUUGAAGAAACCGUGUACGGCUCCAUUAUAGCCCAGUGAAAAACUCGUAGUACAGACACAUUCUCUCAGCCAUCCAAUGACCUUCUCAGCUCAGAAGCCAAGACCGUGUUCUCAACUAGCAACCUCCCUUUCACAAAAGCAGUUUGGUUAGGGAUAAUGAGCGAAGAUAGGAUUGGUUUCAGUCUCUUAACCAGGAGCCUAGAGAUAGUUUUGUAGACAGUGUUUAGGCAGAAGAUAGGUCGGAACUCAGUGAUAAGAGAAGCACCAGGCCUCUUUGGCACCAGUGUUAGGAUUGUCGCAUUAGCUGCAGUCGGCAGAUAUGAUGAAGUGAAGAACUGUAUGAUCGAUGCAACAACCUCAGAGCCUACAAUGUCCCAUGCCGCUUUAUAAAAUCCCGACGUUAACCCAUCGGGGCCUGGAGCCUUGUUUGGGUUAAGUCUCAGUAAUACUCUAGAGAUCUCUUCACCUGAAGGUAGGAGGAGCAUAGUUUGGGCUUCUUGGAACGAUAUCACGUAGAGGUUAAGGGACUGGAACCAUGUUGGAGGAGAAUGAAGUGGUGAUGGAGGUAGCAGUAGAGGGCCAAGAAUAGACUGAAAGUGGUGAAUGGCAUGGGAUGACAUUUGCAGAGGAUCUAGUAUCACUUCGCCCGAUGGGAGAUGGAAUGAUCUGAUGGCGUUAAAAUUCAUUCUAAUUUGGACCACUCUAAAGAAGAAUUGCCACCUCUGAAGCAGUUCUUUCUCCUGUUCAAACAGCAUUGUGGAAGGCGAGUUGAGGGAUUGUACCUGCACAGCUUGUAACAAACAGUUAGCUU
Long non-coding RNA from Raphanus sativus (radish), 1514 nucleotides. RefSeq lists it as uncharacterized. NCBI's taxonomy places the organism in Eukaryota, Viridiplantae, Streptophyta, Magnoliopsida, Brassicales, Brassicaceae. The transcript is spliced from 4 exons. The record is from RefSeq and is a predicted model, not a curated record.